CUUGGGGUGGCAGAGCAGGGACAUCGCAAAAGACUUAAACCCUUUCAACAGAGGUUCAAAUCCUCUCCCCAACU
RNAcentral lists this transfer RNA (74 nucleotides) under Trichiurus lepturus (Atlantic cutlassfish). RNAcentral's name for it is "tRNA-Leu". It matches the Rfam family "tRNA". Rfam says of the family: Transfer RNA (tRNA) molecules are approximately 80 nucleotides in length. Their secondary structure includes four short double-helical elements and three loops (D, anti-codon, and T loops). Lineage: Eukaryota; Metazoa; Chordata; Actinopteri; Scombriformes; Trichiuridae. The record is from RNAcentral. RNAcentral also lists the same sequence under 2 other names.